This is a long non-coding RNA of Gadus morhua (Atlantic cod), 266 nucleotides long. RefSeq lists it as uncharacterized. NCBI's taxonomy places the organism in Eukaryota, Metazoa, Chordata, Actinopteri, Gadiformes, Gadidae. The transcript is spliced from 3 exons. The record is from RefSeq and is a predicted model, not a curated record.
UGAUGGAGGCCCUGCCUGGUGGAGGAACUGAUGGAGGCCCUGCCUGGUGGAGGAGCUGAUGGAGGCCCUGCCUGGUGGAGGAACUGAUGGAGGCCCUGCCUGGUGGAGGAUUCCUGUCGUUGGGUAGAUGGAGCCCGACUCUGAAACCAUGAAUCCGUCUGAAGAGAGCUGGUGGAGGAGCUGAGAAGCUGUAAGACGAUUAGGAAUUGACCAUCAAGGAUUCCUCACACACCUGAGCUGAACCUCACCUGAUCCUGCUGGUCACG